UACGAACCGUCCAAACGUUAUUCGGAUUUAUUGGGCUUAAAGGGUAUGUAGGCGGCGCCAUCAGUCGGGUGUGAAAGCCCUCGGCUCAACCGAGGAACUGCGCCCGAUACUGUGGUGCUUGAGGGAGACAGAGGUAAGCGGAACUGAUGGUGGAGCGGUGAAAUGCUUAGAUAUGACAUAGAACACCAAUUGCGAAGGCAGCUCACUACGCGAAUAUUGACACUGAGGCACGAAAGCGUGGGGAUCAAGCAGG
Molecule: ribosomal RNA, 253 nt
Filed under: uncultured bacterium
Lineage: Bacteria
Description: partial 16S ribosomal RNA
Rfam family: Bacterial small subunit ribosomal RNA
Source: RNAcentral